AUUGAACGCUGGCGGCAGGCCUAACACAUGCAAGUCGAACGGUAACAGGAAGCAGCUUGCUGCUUUGCUGACGAGUGGCGGCCGGGUGGGAAAUGUCUGGGAAACUGCCUGAUGGAGGGGGAUAACUACUGGAAACGGUAGCUAAUACCGCAUAACGUCGAAAGACCAAAGAGGGGGACCUUCGGGCCUCUUGCCAUCGGAUGUGCCCAGAUGGGAUUAGCUAGUAGGUGGGGUAACGGCUCACCUAGGCGACGAUCCCUAGCUGGUCUGAGAGGAUGACCAGCCACACUGGAACUGAGACACGGUCCAGACUCCUACGGGAGGCAGCAGUGGGGAAUAUUGCACAAUGGGCGCAAGCCUGAUGCAGCCAUGCCGCGUGUAUGAAGAAGGCCUUCGGGUUGUAAAGUACUUUCAGCGGGGAGGAAGGGAGUAAAGUUAAUACCUUUGCUCAUUGACGUUACCCGCAGAAGAAGCACCGGCUAACUCCGUG
This 490-nucleotide ribosomal RNA is filed under the name uncultured bacterium. RNAcentral describes it as "partial 16S ribosomal RNA". It matches the Rfam family "Bacterial small subunit ribosomal RNA", at positions 30 to 507 of the family's 1533-position model. The record is from RNAcentral.